CACCGCCCGUCACAUCACGAAAGUGGACUGCACUAGAAGCCGGUGAGCCAACCGCAAGGGGGCAGCCGUCCAAGGUAUGGUUCAUCGAUUCGGGGUGAAGUCGUAACAAGGUACCC
RNAcentral lists this ribosomal RNA (116 nucleotides) under uncultured bacterium. RNAcentral describes it as "partial 16S ribosomal RNA". It matches the Rfam family "Bacterial small subunit ribosomal RNA", at positions 1388 to 1501 of the family's 1533-position model. The record is from RNAcentral.